Molecule: non-coding RNA, 73 nt
Organism: Podarcis lilfordi (Lilford's wall lizard)
Lineage: Eukaryota; Metazoa; Chordata; Lepidosauria; Squamata; Lacertidae
Source: the annotation of a GenBank genome assembly
GAUCAACAGCCUCAGCUGGCAGAGCACUAGACUCUUAAUCUCAAGGCUGUAGGUUCAAGCCCCAUGUCGGGCA